GUCUGUGGCCAUACCACCCUGAACACACCCGAGCUUGUCUGAUCUCGGGAGCUAAGCAGGAUCGGGCCUGGUUAGUAACUUGGACGGGAGAAAACUGAGAAAUGUUACACAUA
Molecule: ribosomal RNA, 113 nt
Organism: Erinaceus europaeus (western European hedgehog)
Lineage: Eukaryota; Metazoa; Chordata; Mammalia; Eulipotyphla; Erinaceidae
Source: Ensembl